RNAcentral lists this ribosomal RNA (253 nucleotides) under uncultured bacterium. Its description in RNAcentral is "partial 16S ribosomal RNA". It matches the Rfam family "Bacterial small subunit ribosomal RNA", at positions 524 to 776 of the family's 1533-position model. The record is from RNAcentral.
UACGUAGGGCGCAAGCGUUGUCCGGAAUUAUUGGGCGUAAAGGGCGCGUAGGCGGCCCGGUAAGUAGGGGGUGAAAUCCUGCGGCUUAACCGCAGGGCUGCCUUCUAAACUGUCGGGCUCGAGCACGGUAGAGGCAGAUGGAAUUCCCGGUGUAGCGGUGGAAUGCGCAGAUAUCAGGAGGAACACCAAUAGCGAAGGCAGCUCGCUGGGACGUUACUGACACUGAGGCGCGAAAGCGUGGGGAGCGAACAGG